RNAcentral lists this ribosomal RNA (16 nucleotides) under Curcuma cordata. Its description in RNAcentral is "partial 26S ribosomal RNA". The record is from RNAcentral. Lineage: Eukaryota; Viridiplantae; Streptophyta; Magnoliopsida; Zingiberales; Zingiberaceae.
GCCGCGUCAAUCAUUU